Theobroma umbraticum is the source of this 552-nucleotide long non-coding RNA. RefSeq lists it as uncharacterized. The record is from RefSeq and is a predicted model, not a curated record. NCBI's taxonomy places the organism in Eukaryota, Viridiplantae, Streptophyta, Magnoliopsida, Malvales, Malvaceae.
CCGAGGUGUAAAGAAGGUCUAAAAGAUAGCAAAAGCCGAAGCCAACAACUCCAGAAGAAAAGCCGAAGCCCAGCCUCCUCGACUGUGAACCCUCCAAUCUCUCGGCUGGAACUUUUUCCUUUUGUUUUUGGGAAUUUCUCUCCCUUCGAUUUGGGCAUUGUCUGUUGUGACUUUGAUUUUGGGACAGAAGUGUGAUGAUCGGAUGAUUGCUGCUCUUAAAGGUAGCAUUGUUUGAAACUCUUUCUGUUUUUGGUUUGUUGCUGCUCCUUGGGGUCUGUUCUGCUUCUCAUGUUUUCUUUAGCAGUCGAUGAAAAACUGAUGUGUUCUUCCGAGAUUCUCAAAUCAGCAGAGAAAAAAUCAAAGUUCAUGUCGACUAAAAUGUGAUAGUUGCAGCUAUCAAUGUAUAAUGGGUUACAAUUUUUUACAAAGGUCAACUGAAUACUGUUGUUUUUUUUCUCCUCUUUUUUAUUAUUAAUGAUUGUAUGGGUCCUGAGUUGUCACUGUUCCUGCUCAGCAGUGCAUACCGAUAUAAUUAAAUAUUGACUUCCAUGA